AUACGGAAGGUCCGGGCGUUAUCCGGCUUUAUUGGGUUUAAAGGGAGCGCAGGCGGAGAUGCAAGCGUGACGUCAAAUUUCGGGGCUCAACCCCGUCUCGCGUCGCGAACUGCGUCCCUUGGUUUCGGGAAGGGGAGGCGGACCUCGUGGUGUAGCGGUGAAAUGCAUAGAUAUCACGAAGAACUCCGAUCGCGAAGGCAGCCUUCCGGCCCGUCAACGACGCUCAUGCUCGAAGGUGCGGGUAUCAAACAGGAUUAGAUACCCUGGUAGUCCGCACAGUAAACGAUGGACACCCGCGGUUUGGCCUGUAUGGCUGAGCCGCCAAGCGAAAGCGUUAAGUGUCCCACCUGGGGAGUACGCCGGCAACGGUGAAACUCAAAUGAAUUGGCGGGG
Molecule: ribosomal RNA, 393 nt
Filed under: uncultured bacterium
Lineage: Bacteria
Description: partial 16S ribosomal RNA
Rfam family: Bacterial small subunit ribosomal RNA
Source: RNAcentral